CGGACGGCUGAGUAACGCAUAGGAACGUACCCCAAAGUGAGGGAUAAGCACCGGAAACGGUGUCUAAUACCGCAUGUGCUCUACGGAGUAAAGUCUUCGGACGCUAUGGGAGCGGCCUAUGUAAGAUUAGCUUGUUGGUGAGGUAAAGGCUCACCAAGGCGACGAUCUUUAGCUGGUCUGAGAGGAUGAUCAGCCAGACUGGGACUGAGACACGGCCCAGACUCCUACGGGAGGCAGCAGUAGGGAAUUUUCCACAAUGGACGAAAGUCUGAUGGAGCAACGCCGCGUGCAGGAUGAAGGCUUUCGGGUCGUAAACUGCUUUUAUGAGUGAAGAUUUAAGACGGUAACUCAAGAAUAAGGGUCGGCUAACUACGUGCCAGCAGCCGCGGUCAUACGUAGGACCCAAGCGUUAUCCGGAAUUACUGGGCGUAAAGAGUUGUGUAGGCGGCUUGUUAAGCAAGAUGUGAAAUCAUAUGGCUCAACCAUAUAAACAUUUCUUGAACUGGCAGGCUAGAGGGCGAGAGAGGUUAUUGGAAUUUCUAGUGUAGGAGUGAAAUCCGUAGAUAUUAGAAGGAACACCGAUGGCGUAGGCAGAUAACUGGCCCGCUCCUGACGCUCAGACACGAAAGCAUGGGUAGCAAACGGGAUUAGAUACCC
Molecule: ribosomal RNA, 657 nt
Filed under: uncultured bacterium
Lineage: Bacteria
Description: bacterial SSU rRNA
Rfam family: Bacterial small subunit ribosomal RNA
Source: RNAcentral